UUAGCCUUAAAUAUAAAAAAUUAAAAACAAAAUUAUUCGCCAGAGCACUACUAGCAAUAGCUUAAAACUCAAAGGACCUGACGGUGCCUUAUAUCCCUCUAGAGGAGCCUGUUCUAUAAUCGAUAAACCCCGAUCUACCUCACCAAUCUUUGCCAAAUCAGCCUAUAUACCGCCAUCUUCAGCAAACCCUAAAAAGGAACCAAAGUAAGCAUAAGUAUUAACAUAAAGACGUUAGGUCAAGGUGUAGCUUAUAGAAUGGAAAGAAAUGGGCUACAUUCCCCAAAUUGGGGUAUUAAAAUUUUUACGAAAACCUAUGUGAAAUCAAAAGUUAAAGGUGGAUUUAGCAGUAAAUUAAGAAUAGAGAGCUUAAUUGAAUAUGGCCAUAAGGCACGCACAACACCGCCCCGUCACCCUCCUCAAAUAA
RNAcentral lists this ribosomal RNA (424 nucleotides) under Myotis ater. RNAcentral's name for it is "partial 12S ribosomal RNA". It matches the Rfam family "Bacterial small subunit ribosomal RNA", at positions 875 to 1413 of the family's 1533-position model. Lineage: Eukaryota; Metazoa; Chordata; Mammalia; Chiroptera; Vespertilionidae. The record is from RNAcentral.